Molecule: unclassified non-coding RNA, 534 nt
Filed under: Zea mays
Lineage: Eukaryota; Viridiplantae; Streptophyta; Magnoliopsida; Poales; Poaceae
Description: misc RNA Zm00001eb099630
Source: RNAcentral
CUGUCUCCCUCUUUGCCCAAGCAUAGCCCCACACAGCGCGUCUUCUGGCCUCCGGCCAGGAGUGCUCGCCGUCUCGCACCGGUUGCCUGGUGCACGGGCGAGAACCGGCCAGAGAUCGAGGAUGCCGACCAUGGCGAGCUUUGGACUCUCCUACCCCACAUUUGCGGUGACAACCAGGUGUUCAGUCCGCGGUGUGGUGGUGGUCGCUUAGUUCAGUCCGCCAUGGAAGGUGCAGCCGGCCAAAUGAUCAUCCUGAUCCUCGGCAUCGUUGUCGCAGCACCCAUGACCUUCUACACCAUCAACUUCAUGGAGAUGCGAGAUGGUCCAAUCCUGUCAGCGCGCAAGACAUUGGCGGCCGCCAAGUUAGUUGAAGUGGUAGAGGAGAACAAGCCAAAGGGGGAGGCUCAGAAGGAGAAGCGAGUGGAAAAAUCUAGGCAGCAGAGAAGGGCCAUGCCAUACCUAAAGACCACUUGGACAACAAAGAGAAGGAGCUCAUCAAGGCUGCAACCAAAGGGGGUAAUGCUCUGUUCUUAA